RNAcentral lists this ribosomal RNA (254 nucleotides) under uncultured bacterium. RNAcentral describes it as "partial 16S ribosomal RNA". It matches the Rfam family "Bacterial small subunit ribosomal RNA", at positions 524 to 776 of the family's 1533-position model. The record is from RNAcentral.
CACGUAGGGGGCGAGCGUUGUCCGGAAUCAUUGGGCGUAAAGAGCUCGUAGGCGGCUCGGUAAGUCGGGUGUGAAACCCCCAGGCUCAACCUGGGGACGCCACCCGAUACUGCCGUGGCUAGAGUCCAGUAGGGGAGUGUGGAAUUCCCGGUGUAGCGGUGAAAUGCGCAGAUAUCGGGAGGAACACCAGCGGCGAAGGCGGCACUCUGGGCUGGAACUGACGCUGAGGAGCGAAAGCGUGGGUAGCAAACCGG